UGCAUUGGCCGGGAAUCGAACCCGGGCUGCCAGUGUGGCAGGCGAGCAUUCUACCACUGAACCACCGAUGG
RNAcentral lists this transfer RNA (71 nucleotides) under Cordylochernes scorpioides. Its description in RNAcentral is "tRNA-Gly". The record is from RNAcentral. Lineage: Eukaryota; Metazoa; Arthropoda; Arachnida; Pseudoscorpiones; Chernetidae.